UACGUAGGGCGCAAGCGUUGUCCGGAAUUAUUGGGCGUAAAGAGCUCGUAGGCGGUUUGUCGCGUCUGCUGUGAAAGCCCGGGGCUCAACCCCGGGUCUGCAGUGGGUACGGGCAGACUGGAGUGCGGUAGGGGAGAUUGGAAUUCCUGGUGUAGCGGUGGAAUGCGCAGAUAUCAGGAGGAACACCAAUGGCGAAGGCAGAUCUCUGGGCCGUAACUGACGCUGAGGAGCGAAAGCAUGGGGAGCGAACAGG
This 253-nucleotide ribosomal RNA is filed under the name uncultured bacterium. Its description in RNAcentral is "partial 16S ribosomal RNA". It matches the Rfam family "Bacterial small subunit ribosomal RNA", at positions 524 to 776 of the family's 1533-position model. The record is from RNAcentral.